RNAcentral lists this ribosomal RNA (1343 nucleotides) under uncultured bacterium. Its description in RNAcentral is "16S ribosomal RNA". It matches the Rfam family "Bacterial small subunit ribosomal RNA", at positions 28 to 1378 of the family's 1533-position model. The record is from RNAcentral.
GACGAACGCUGUCGGCGUGCUUAACACAUGCAAGUCGAACGGAAAGGCCCUGCUUUUGUGGGGUGCUCGAGUGGCGAACGGGUGAGUAACACGUGAGUAACCUGCCCUUGACUUUGGGAUAACUUCAGGAAACUGGGGCUAAUACCGGAUAGGAGCUCCUGCUGCAUGGUGGGGGUUGGAAAGUUUCGGCGGUUGGGGAUGGACUCGCGGCUUAUCAGCUUGUUGGUGGGGUAGUGGCUUACCAAGGCUUUGACGGGUAGCCGGCCUGAGAGGGUGACCGGCCACAUUGGGACUGAGAUACGGCCCAGACUCCUACGGGAGGCAGCAGUGGGGAAUAUUGCACAAUGGGCGGAAGCCUGGUGCAGCAACGCCGCGUGCGGGAUGACGGCCUUCGGGUUGUAAACCGCUUUCGCCUGUGACGAAGCGUGAGUGACGGUAAUGGGUAAAGAAGCACCGGCUAACUACGUGCCAGCAGCCGCGGUGAUACGUAGGGUGCGAGCGUUGUCCGGAUUUAUUGAGCGUAAAGGGCUCGUAGGUGGUUGAUCGCGUCGGAAGUGUAAUCUUGGGGCUUAACCCUGAGCGUGCUUUCGAUACGGGUUGACUUGAGGAAGGUAGGGGAGAAUGGAAUUCCUGGUGGAGCGGUGGAAUGCGCAGAUAUCAGGAGGAACACCAGUGGCGAAGGCGGUUCUCUGGGCCUUUCCUGACGCUGAGGAGCGAAAGCGUGGGGAGCGAACAGGCUUAGAUACCCUGGUAGUCCACGCUGUAAACGGUGGGUACUAGGUGUGGGGUCCAUUCCACGGGUUCCGUGCCGUAGCUAACGCUUUAAGUACCCCGCCUGGGGAGUACGGCCGCAAGGCUAAAACUCAAAGGAAUUGACGGGGCCCCGCACAAGCGGCGGAGCAUGCGGAUUAAUUCGAUGCAACGCGUAGAACCUUACCUGGGUUUGACAUGGAUCGGGAGUGCUCAGAGAUGGGUGUGCCUCUUUUGGGGUCGGUUCACAGGUGGUGCAUGCCUGUCGUCAGCUCGUGUCGUGAGAUGUUGGGUUAAGUCCCGCAACGAGCGCAACCCUUGUUCACUGUUGCCAGCACGUUAUGGUGGGGACUCAGUGGAGACCGCCGGGGUCAACUCGGAGGAAGGUGGGGAUGACGUCAAGUCCUCAUGCCCCUUAUGUCCAGGGCUUCACGCAUGCUACAAUGGCUGGUACAGAGAGUGGCGAGCCUGUGAGGGUGAGCGAAUCUCGGAAAGCCGGUCUCAGUUCGGAUUGGGGUCUGCAACUCGACCUCAUGAAGUCGGAGUCGCUAGUAAUCGCAGAUCAGCAACGCUGCGGUGAAUACGUUCCCGGG